RNAcentral lists this long non-coding RNA (301 nucleotides) under Vigna radiata. Its description in RNAcentral is "long non-coding RNA (VRAD_LNC011391)". Lineage: Eukaryota; Viridiplantae; Streptophyta; Magnoliopsida; Fabales; Fabaceae. The record is from RNAcentral.
CGCUAGCAAAAGCUUGAUGACUUGUACAAUUAUAUUUGACGUUGCACUGUGGGAUCAUUUAAGGCCAAUGAGAAGAUGCCACGUGGUAAAUCCCUUUCCAUCCAAAGUUAGGGUUUCAUAAUUGCAGAAUGGGAAAGGGUGUUAUCCACGACCGAUGGCAGUGAUGGAGAUUACAGUGGUGGCAGAGAAAGAUCCGGAAUUGAGGAACUGAAUAACAGUGAUGGAAUAUAAACUGCAGGCAAGUGAAGAUGUACAAAACUUUCCAAGAAGCUUCCAGAGAAAACCACACACUCUUUAAAAU